UGAACGCUGGCGGCAGGCCUAACACAUGCAAGUCGAGCGGCAGCGCGGGGGCAACCCUGGCGGCGAGCGGCGGACGGGUGAGGAAUGCAUCGGAAUCUACCCUGUCGUGGGGGAUAACGUAGGGAAACUUACGCUAAUACCGCAUACGACCGAGAGGUGAAAGUGGGGGACCGCAAGGCCUCACGCGAUUGGAUGAGCCGAUGCCGGAUUAGCUAGUUGGAGGGGUAAAGGCCCACCAAGGCGACGAUCCGUAGCUGGUCUGAGAGGAUGAUCAGCCACAUUGGGACUGAGACACGGCCCAAACUCCUACGGGAGGCAGCAGUGGGGAAUAUUGGACAAUGGGCGCAAGCCUGAUCCAGCCAUGCCGCGUGUGUGAAGAAGGCCUUCGGGUUGUAAAGCACUUUUGUUGGGGAAGAAAUUGUACGGGCGAAUACCCCGUGCGGAUGACGGUACCCAAAGAAUAAGCACCGGCUAACUUCGUGCCAGCAGCCGCGGUAAUACGAAGGGUGCAAGCGUUACUCGGAAUCACUGGGCGUAAAGCGUGCGUAGGCGGUUGGUUAAGUCUGCUGUGAAAGCCCUGGGCUCAACCUGGGAACUGCAGUGGAUACUGGCCAGCUCGAGUGUGAUAGAGGAUGGUGGAAUUCCCGGUGUAGCGGUGAAAUGCGUAGAGAUCGGGAGGAACACCAGUGGCGAAGGCGGCCAUCUGGAUCAACAC
Molecule: ribosomal RNA, 715 nt
Filed under: uncultured bacterium
Lineage: Bacteria
Description: bacterial SSU rRNA
Rfam family: Bacterial small subunit ribosomal RNA
Source: RNAcentral